UGUAUAUUCAGUUCAGUUUCGAAUACCGUCAGGUGCACACACGCAUUCCGAUGUCAGUAUGCUCGUUACUCCUUUAUAUUAUAUUCGAUUAUACGGCUCAGCCUGUAUUUCAUAAUCGUAUACUGCGCAGGCGAAAAAAGAAAACCAAGUUCUUCUCCAAUCCGAAUCGGUUUUCUAUGAUUGCCAAGCACAACGUUAACUCAUCUUCCAACACUAUUCAAAGUCGAGAUUCAAAUGCUACAGUUGGAGUACGAUACAGGCAAACAACCGCCAAUGUAUAUAAAAAAUAUAGAAAACGUUAUGCAAGUAUGCAAAAUGUUCCAGCAAACAGAAUAAGCGAAAAUAAGGACCUGGUAGAUUUUGUAUGACUAACAGAGGAACGACCACCGAUACAUUUAAAACAUAAAAUGAGUUACACUUACACCCAUCAGAAUAUCGGAUUGCCCAGAGAAACGGACGUCGAUGUCGGAUUCUUCCACGGAGCAUAUGAUGUCGGAGUUCUUGGUCUACAUGGAAAUCGAUUCCUGUGCGUCAGUCGAACCUCCAACAACAAUUAAUAUCAGGGUCGAUAAUGGUAACUGGAAGUACAGCCGCAGAAUCUAUGGUACCAGAGCCCAAGGUCGAGGACGAUAAGGAGGAGAUGUCCGUUAUUUUCGUGGGCGCCGACGCAACGGUGACACGUCUUAUUCAGUGUCAGAGAAGAACCCAAAGAGAAGUCGAGCUUGAUGGUCGUUUGGGUUAGGGUUUGAAGCGGGACGACGUUUAUAUCGAAACCGUUCGAUCGACUGGCGCUAUACGGACGCUACAAUCGAACAGCGCCACCGAUACCGGAUGUCGGGUAUCGACGUGGUUCGCUGAUAUCUGUGGAUAUCCGCGACACCAUGCAGCGCAGUUGACGCUGCGACCGAUUGCAAGAUGCGUGUUCGCAGCCGGUCGCAGCGUUUCCGGAUGCAUCGGCGUGCGGCAUCACGUCGGACGAGCACGAGCUGCCGACCACCACCGUUCCGACCGCUGCACUUUAUGGCAAGUGCACCUUGCACUCGCCCGAGUCAUCUCCGUCGUCGCCCUCCACCCCCGCUGUCAUCCGAGUGCACGACAUCGCACGGGUCGAUCUGGUAGUCCACCGCUCAGUCACCAUGGUCACGGUUGUCGGGCGCCCAUAAACCUUACAUUAUGAUGUCCAACAAUACAGCAGUCGACCGCCGGGACCGGCUGCGGUAACGCGUGAAUCAACGCGUGCAGUGGUCGCAUUCGUUCAACUCUCACGAACGCCGUCGGUUCUCUCCCCCCCCCCCCUUUGUUUAUCCAUCUAUCCUGUAACAAUAGCUUUUAAGUACAUCUUAUUAUCAAUGAACAAAUUUUAUGGAAUCUUGGAUAAAAUUUUUAAGAAUUUUUACCCAGCGAAUAAUUUUUAUUAAAAUUUAAAAAAAAAAAAAUUAAAAAUGUCUAUACUAGCUUAAAAAGAGUUGAAAUAUUUUGAAAACUAUACAACGAUGACAUAAAAAUUUUGUGAAAAUUUUAAGUACCUAUAGUUUUUUUGAUUUUAAAUUAUACCAUAAAACAUUAACAGUAAUAGU
RNA transcript from Aphis gossypii (cotton aphid), 1577 nucleotides. RefSeq lists it as uncharacterized. NCBI's taxonomy places the organism in Eukaryota, Metazoa, Arthropoda, Insecta, Hemiptera, Aphididae. The record is from RefSeq and is a predicted model, not a curated record. The transcript is spliced from 3 exons.